GACGAACGCUGGCGGCGUGCUUAACACAUGCAAGUCGAACGGAAAGGCCCUGCUUUUGUGGGGUGCUCGACUGGCGAACGGGUGAGUAACACGUGAGUAACCUGCCCUUGACUUUGGGAUAACUUCAGGUAACUUGGGCUCAUACCGGAUAUGAGCUCCUGCUGCAUGGUGGGGGUUGGAAAGUUUCGGCGGUUGGGGAUGGACUCGCGGCUUAUCAGCUUGUGGGUGGGGUAUUUGCUUACCAAGGCUUUGACGGGUAGCCGGCCUGUGAGGGUUGACGGCCACAUGGGGACUGAGAUACGGCGCAGACGCCAACGGGAGACAGCAGUGGGGAAUAUUGCACAAUGGGCGGAAGCCUGAUGCAGCAACGCCGCGUGCGGAAUGACGGCCUGCGGGUUGUAAACAGCUUUCGCCUGUGACGAAGGGUGAGUGACGGUAAUGGGUAAAGAAGCACCGGCUAACUACGUG
RNAcentral lists this ribosomal RNA (468 nucleotides) under uncultured bacterium. RNAcentral's name for it is "partial 16S ribosomal RNA". It matches the Rfam family "Bacterial small subunit ribosomal RNA", at positions 28 to 507 of the family's 1533-position model. The record is from RNAcentral.